AGUGAACGCUGGCGGCGUGCCUAAUACAUGCAAGUCGAACGGAGAUUAAGUAGCUUGCUAUUUAAUCUUAGUGGCGCACGGGUGAGUAAUAUAUAGCUAACUUGCCCAUUACUAAGGGACAACAGUUGGAAACGACUGCUAAUACCUUAUACUCCGUAUCUAUAUAAGUAGAUACGGGAAAGUUUUUCGGUAAUGGAUAGGUCUAUAUCGUAUCAGCUAGUUGGUAAGGUAAUGGCUUACCAAGGCUAUGACGCGUAACUGGUCUGAGAGGAUGAUCAGUCAAACUGGAAGUGAGACACGGUCCAGACUCCUACGGGAGGCAGCAGUAGGGAAUAUUGCUAAAUGGGGGAAACCCUGAAGCAGCAACGCCGCGUGGAGGAUGACACUUUUCGGAGCGUAAACUCCUUUUCUUGGGAAAGAAUUAUGACGGUACCCAAGGAAUAAGCACCGGCUAACUCCGUG
Molecule: ribosomal RNA, 462 nt
Filed under: uncultured bacterium
Lineage: Bacteria
Description: partial 16S ribosomal RNA
Rfam family: Bacterial small subunit ribosomal RNA
Source: RNAcentral